GAAUAUUAUGCAACAUUAGCAUAAACAACAUGUGUGACCUAUACAUAUCCUUUCUGUUGUGCAAUCUAUCACAAAAUGGAAUAGGGAAAACCAGCUAAAUGGCCAAGAAAAAUGAAAACAAAAAGGAGUUCACUGCAUUCCAUACACAUUUAUAGCUUCAUAUAUCCGAGAUCAUUAUUCGCGCUUGAAGCUUUAAAAUACAUUCAGAGAGCUCUUGCAAUAUCUGCUCUGUCCAAUCUGAGAUGGUGGAAUUCUGCUUCCACAAUUGUACCACUUCAAUAGGAUCUUCAAGACAAAAUUAGAUCUAAGGAAGUCAUACCCUGCAAAGUAGACUCGAGUUCACAUUGCACCAACAACUGAAGGAGGUGAGCACGAGUACAAGAGCACAGAGGCUCAUGGUUAAGUAAUGAUCACAUCACAAUACCAAAUACCUUGCUCAGUUGCGUCCUUGAGAAAUAAUUUCCUUAUGCUUUGUGAGCGUGUCCUGGAACUCCAAGCGUUUAGCAGACCUGAGAUCAACUACACUGGGAGGCAUUGGUUGAAGGGACCCAUGUAGCUCAACUAGUUUAAAGAAUCCCUCCUUAGUAAGACUUUUUUUCUCAACUAGUAUAUCGACAACUGCAUCCAUAAGGUUUCGAUUUUGAUGAAGGAUCUCUUUUGCACGAUCAUAGCACAUAUGUAAUACGUGAAGUGCCUCGGAAUCAAUGUCAUUUAUCCUAUCUGCAACCCAGAAGUCAGACAAACCAUAAUGUUUAUCAGACAGACCACCAAGAACAAAAGUCCGAGCCGCUG
This 792-nucleotide unclassified non-coding RNA is filed under the name Hevea brasiliensis (rubber tree). Lineage: Eukaryota; Viridiplantae; Streptophyta; Magnoliopsida; Malpighiales; Euphorbiaceae. The record is from RNAcentral.